RNAcentral lists this ribosomal RNA (496 nucleotides) under uncultured bacterium. RNAcentral's name for it is "partial 16S ribosomal RNA". It matches the Rfam family "Bacterial small subunit ribosomal RNA", at positions 28 to 506 of the family's 1533-position model. The record is from RNAcentral.
GAUGAACGCUGGCGGCGUGCCUAAUACAUGCAAGUCGAGCGAACGGACGAGAAGCUUGCUUCUCUGAUGUUAGCGGCGGACGGGUGAGUAACACGUGGAUAACCUACCUAUAAGACUGGGAUAACUUCGGGAAACCGUAGCUAAUACCGGAUAAUAUUUUGAACCGCAUGGUUCAAAAGUGAAAGACGGUCUUGCUGUCACUUAUAGAUGGAUCCGCGCUGCAUUAGCUAGUUGGUAAGGUAACGGCUUACCAAGGCAACGAUGCAUAGCCGACCUGAGAGGGUGAUAGGCCACACUGGAACUGAGACACGGUCCAGACGCCUACGGGAGGCAGAAGUAGGGAAUCUUCCGCAAUGGGCGAAAGCCUGACGGAGCAACGCCGCGUGAGUGAUGAAGGUCUUCGGAUCGUAAAACUCUGUUAUUAGGGAAGAACAUAUGUGUAAGUAACUGUGCACAUCUUGACGGUACCUAAUCAGAAAGCCACGGCUAACUACGU